Molecule: ribosomal RNA, 400 nt
Filed under: uncultured bacterium
Lineage: Bacteria
Description: bacterial SSU rRNA
Rfam family: Bacterial small subunit ribosomal RNA
Source: RNAcentral
UCGAGAAUCUUCGGCAAUGGGCGAAAGCCUGACCGAGCGACGCCGCGUGUGGGAUGAAGGCCCUUGGGUUGUAAACCACUGUCAGAGGGGAUGAAGUGCACGCGGGUACUCCCGUGUGUUUGACAUAGCCUCAGAGGAAGCACGGGCUAAGUUCGUGCCAGCAGCCGCGGUAAUACGAACUGUGCGAACGUUAUUCGGAAUCACUGGGCUUACAGGGUGCGUAGGCGGCUUGUUAAGCAGGGUGUGAAAUCCCUCGGCUCAACCGAGGAAUUGCGCCCUGAACUGGCGAGCUUGAGUGGGACAGAGGUGUGUGGAACUUCCAGUGGAGCGGUGAAAUGUGUUGAUAUUGGAAGGAACGCCAGAGGCGAAAGCGACACACUGGGUCUCAACUGACGCUGAG